This 465-nucleotide ribosomal RNA is filed under the name Vreelandella stevensii. RNAcentral's name for it is "partial 16S ribosomal RNA". It matches the Rfam family "Bacterial small subunit ribosomal RNA", at positions 338 to 795 of the family's 1533-position model. Lineage: Bacteria; Pseudomonadati; Pseudomonadota; Gammaproteobacteria; Oceanospirillales; Halomonadaceae. The record is from RNAcentral.
CCUACGGGGGGCAGCAGUGGGGAAUAUUGGACAAUGGGGGCAACCCUGAUCCAGCCAUGCCGCGUGUGUGAAGAAGGCCCUCGGGUUGUAAAGCACUUUCAGUGAGGAAGAACGCCUGGUGGUUAAUACCCAUCAGGAAAGACAUCACUCACAGAAGAAGCACCGGCUAACUCCGUGCCAGCAGCCGCGGUAAUACGGAGGGUGCGAGCGUUAAUCGGAAUUACUGGGCGUAAAGCGCGCGUAGGUGGCUUGAUAAGCCGGUUGUGAAAGCCCCGGGCUCAACCUGGGAACGGCAUCCGGAACUGUCAAGCUAGAGUGUAGGAGAGGAAGGUAGAAUUCCCGGUGUAGCGGUGAAACGCGUAGAGAUCGGGAGGAAUACCAGUGGCGAAGGCGGCCUUCUGGACUGACACUGACACUGAGGUGCGAAAGCGUGGGUAGCAAACAGGAUUAGAUACCCUAGUAGUC